This 503-nucleotide small RNA is filed under the name Pongo abelii (Sumatran orangutan). Its description in RNAcentral is "processed transcript". Lineage: Eukaryota; Metazoa; Chordata; Mammalia; Primates; Hominidae. The record is from RNAcentral.
ACAAUAAUCACCAAGGAAAUCUCUUUGGUUUUUAAAAAUAAAUAAACAUAUAUUCAUAAAACUCAAAAAACAGUUCUACUUAUACUGAACGUUGAGAUGGCAGAAACUUUCAGAAGCAAAAAUUAAGCAUAUUGAAAGGAUCCCAUUCAUAUGAAACUAACAGGCUGUUUUCCGUUUAAACUCAACUGUGAGUGCUUCUGUUCAGAACACGUUAUUUCAUGACUAGGAUAAAGAAGCAAAUGGUUUAUGACUUGUCUGCUUUCUGGUAGUUAGAAUACAAGGGUCAAUCUAUGGCUAGUGUUCAUUGGUAAUUUUAAAAUCUUUAAAAAUAAGUAGCUGGGCACAGUGGCCUGUAAUCCCAGCACUUUGGGAGGCUGAGGCAGGAGAAUCGCUUGAGCCCGGGACGGAGGUUGCAGUGAGCGGAGAUCACGCCACUGCACUACAGCCUGGGUGGCAGAGCGAGACUCUGUCUCAUAAAACAAAACAAAAAAAUAAAAAUAAGU